This 417-nucleotide ribosomal RNA is filed under the name uncultured bacterium. RNAcentral describes it as "bacterial SSU rRNA". It matches the Rfam family "Bacterial small subunit ribosomal RNA", at positions 769 to 1186 of the family's 1533-position model. The record is from RNAcentral.
UUAACCGGAUUAGAUACCCUGGUAGUCCACGCCGUAAACGAUGUCGACUUGGAGGUUGUGCCCUUGAGGCGUGGCUUCCGGAGCUAACGCGUUAAGUCGACCGCCUGGGGAGUACGGCCGCAAGGUUAAAACUCAAAUGAAUUGACGGGGGCCCGCACAAGCGGUGGAGCAUGUGGUUUAAUUCGAUGCAACGCGAAGAACCUUACCUGGUCUUGACAUCCACAGAACUUUCCAGAGAUGGAUUGGUGCCUUCGGGAACUGUGAGACAGGUGCUGCAUGGCUGUCGUCAGCUCGUGUUGUGAAAUGUUGGGUUAAGUCCCGCAACGAGCGCAACCCUUAUCCUUUGUUGCCAGCGGUCCGGCCGGGAACUCAAAGGAGACUGCCAGUGAUAAACUGGAGGAAGGUGGGGAUGACGUA